UUUGCGAAUAUACGAUAUUCGUGAUUAAAAUUCGAAUUGCGAAUAUUCACGAGCAACACUAUUCUUUUUAUGAACCAUAAUAGUACACAAUCCUUACACACAUCACCUUACAGAUUCACCGGAGUUUUCUGCAAGUGUUAGCCAUUGUCAUGACCAUCCACACGAUUGGGGAUCUGACCAGGAAACAGCUUUCUGCGAGUGUCACUUAAAAGGGUCUCAUGCAAUCUUCGGCACAUCGCCUUUCUCCUACCUCUGAGUACUCCAACCCUCACCUUCCAAGAAAUACUGGUCUCAGGAGUGAUGGCCCACUCCACCAGUCACUGGCUGCAGCAAUAUCCCACCUCAGCAGGUGACAUGACUCCCGAGAUAUUCAAAAAGAGAUUAAAGUAUUGGAUGAAGAUUUUGUAAAACUAGAAAAAUCGGAGGAGGUGGAAAAAGUUAAUAUGGAAUUACAAGACAUGAAUUCUCGCGAGAUCGAGGUCUAUUUAAUGUGGUGGUGGGUUGUUCACGUCAGGCUUGAGAAAGAGAGUGAUCCUGAAACGUCGCCAAUCAAGUUCACCGGCUGGUGAGCUCUCUACGCUGAUUAUAGAAGAAGCUGGUUUUACAGCACUAUUGGACAUGUUCGCACUGAGCUCCGGCUGGAGCCGAAGUAGUACGUUGUAAACCUGUGAUCACGUAUUGGCGAGUAUGCACUGGGUGAUUUUGCAAUAUGUUCAAGUACACUAUUCCUGUAUGAAAAGUAUUCUUAUAUGAAGA
Hyla sarda is the source of this 756-nucleotide long non-coding RNA. RefSeq lists it as uncharacterized. The record is from RefSeq and is a predicted model, not a curated record. The transcript is spliced from 4 exons. Lineage: Eukaryota; Metazoa; Chordata; Amphibia; Anura; Hylidae.